CUUCGGCUACCAUACUGGUGGAGGAGGGCAAAGAGGUGAUAGCUGGACAACAUACCGACAGUGUUAACUCCAUCUCCUUCUCCUCCCACUCAGCUGUAGCUGUGACGGGGUCGGAUGAUAGCUGGACAACAUACCG
RNAcentral lists this non-coding RNA (136 nucleotides) under Palpitomonas bilix. The record is from RNAcentral.